This 489-nucleotide ribosomal RNA is filed under the name uncultured bacterium. RNAcentral's name for it is "bacterial SSU rRNA". It matches the Rfam family "Bacterial small subunit ribosomal RNA", at positions 28 to 512 of the family's 1533-position model. The record is from RNAcentral.
GAUGAACGCUAGCGGCAGGCUUAAUACAUGCAAGUCGUGGGGCAGCAUGAGUAGCAAUACUUGAUGGCGACCGGCAAACGGGUGAGGAACACGUACACAACCUUCCUUCAAGCGGGGAAUAGCCCAGAGAAAUUUGGAUUAAUACCCCAUAAUAUAUUUGAUAAGGCAUCUUAUUAAUAUUAAAGCUUCGGCACUUGAUGAUGGGUGUGCGGCUGAUUAGAUAGUUGGCGGGUAACGGCCCACCAAGUCUACGAUCAGUAGCUGAUGUGAGAGCAUGAUCAGCCACACGGGCACUGAGACACGGGCCCGACUCCUACGGGAGGCAGCAGUAAGGAUAUUGGACAAUGGACGAAAGUCUGAUCCAGCCAUGCCGCGUGAAGGAUUAAGGUCCUCUGGAUUGUAAACUUCUUUAUAUGGGACGUAAAAAGGGCAAUUCUUAGUUCGCUUGACGGUACCAUAUGAAUAAGCACCGGCUAACUCCGUGCCAGC